GAUGAACGCUAGCGGCAGGCCUAACACAUGCAAGUCGAGGGGUAGCAGGAUUAAGCUUGCUUAAUUGCUGACGACCGGCGCACGGGUGCGUAACGCGUAUGCAACCUACCUUAUACUGGGGUAUAGCCCGGAGAAAUUCGGAUUAAUCCCCCAUAGUACUAAUGAAUCGCAUGGUUUAUUAGUUAACGCAUUGCGGUAUAAGAUGGGCAUGCGGCCUAUUAGCGAGAUGGUGAGGUAACGGCUCACCAUGGCUACGAUAGGUAGGGGGCCUGAGAGGGUGGUCCCCCACACUGGUACUGAGACACGGACCAAACUCCUACGGGAGGCAGCAGUGAGGAAUAUUGGGCAAUGGGCGCAAGCCUGAACCAGCCAUGCCGCGUGCAGGAAGAAUGCCCUAUGGGUUGUAAACUGCUUUUAUUUGGGAAUAAACCUCUUUACGUGUAGAGAGCUGAAGGUACCAAAUGAAUAAGCACCGGCUAACUCCGUGCCAGCAGCCGCUGUAA
RNAcentral lists this ribosomal RNA (503 nucleotides) under uncultured bacterium. RNAcentral's name for it is "partial 16S ribosomal RNA". It matches the Rfam family "Bacterial small subunit ribosomal RNA", at positions 28 to 523 of the family's 1533-position model. The record is from RNAcentral.